Molecule: long non-coding RNA, 319 nt
Filed under: Elaeis guineensis (African oil palm)
Lineage: Eukaryota; Viridiplantae; Streptophyta; Magnoliopsida; Arecales; Arecaceae
Description: long non-coding RNA (EGUI_LNC044851)
Source: RNAcentral
GGGUUAUAGUGUCACAUAAUUAUUAGGGCGCAUUCGGUUUGCAAUUGAAAUUGAAAUCGAAAAAGAUUGAAAUAGAAAUCAGAAUAAUCAUAACCUUUGAUGCAUUUGACGUAUGACUGGAAUCAGAAUUAGAAUCAGAAUGGGAUUUUAAUACUAGAGGAGAAUAGAGAUUGGAUUUUGGGGGCUUGAGAUAUUCUCAUUCUCCAUAAAAUCCGAAUGAGAAUGGAACACCUAACCAAAUAGCUGAAAUGAAAAUCUCAUUUUAAUUCUCAUUCUCAUUUCAGAGUCCGAAUUCCAAAUGAUUGAUAAGGAGGGGGAG